UGCUGGAAGGUUAAUUGAUGGGGUUAUGCUUAUGCAGAAGCUCUUGAUCGAAGCCCCAGUAAACGGCGGCCGUAACUAUAACGGUCCUAAGGUAGCGAAAUUCCUUGUCGGGUAAGUUCCGACCUGCACGAAUGGCGUAAUGAUGGCCAGGCUGUCUCCACCCGAGACUCAGUGAAAUUGAAAUUGCCGUGAAGAUGCGGUGUACCCGUGGCAAGACGGAAAGACCCCGUGAACCUUUACUAUAGCUUGACAGUGAACAUUGAGCCUUAAUGUGUAGGAUAGGUGGGAGACAAAGAAGUGUGUACGCCAGUAUGCAUGGAGUCGCCCUUGAAAUACCACCCUUUAAUGUUUGAUGUUCUAACCUAUACUUCUGAAUCGAGGUAAGGGACACUGUCUGGUGGGUAGUUUGACUGGGGCGGUCUCCUCCCAAAGAGUAACGGAGGAGCACGAAGGUUAGCUAAUCCUGGUCGGACAUCAGGAGGUUAGUGCAAUGGCAAAAGCUAGCUUGACUGCGAGAGUGACGGCUCGAGCAGGUACGAAAGUAGGUCAUAGUGAUCCGGUGGUUCUGAAUGGAAGGGCCAUCGCUCAACGGAUAAAAGGUACUCCGGGGAUAACAGGCUGAUACCGCCCAAGAGUUCAUAUCGACGGCGGUGUUUGGCACCUCGAUGUCGGCUCAUCACAUCCUGGGGCUGAAGUAGGUCCCAAGGGUACGGCUGUUCGCCGUUUAAAGUGGUACGCGAGCUGGGUUUAGAACGUCGUGAGACAGUUCGGUCCCUAUCUGCCAUGGGCGUAGGAAAAUUGAGAGGGUUUGCUUCUAGUACGAGAGGACCGAAGUGAACGCACCGCUGGUGUUCGGGUUGUGAUGCCAAUUGCAUUGCCCGGUAGCUACGUGCGGAAUAGAUAAGUGCUGAAAGCAUCUAAGUACGAAACUAGCCUUGAGAUGAGUUUUCCCUGAAGAGAUUCAGUAAGGUCCGUUUGAGACUAAGACGUAGAUAGGUCAGGUGUGUAAGUGUAGUGAUACAUUGAGCUAACUGAUACUAAUGAACCGAGAGUCUUAACCUUACAACUC
RNAcentral lists this ribosomal RNA (1069 nucleotides) under Gilliamella apicola. RNAcentral's name for it is "bacterial LSU rRNA". It matches the Rfam family "Bacterial large subunit ribosomal RNA", at positions 1867 to 2925 of the family's 2925-position model. The record is from RNAcentral. RNAcentral also lists the same sequence under 1 other name. Lineage: Bacteria; Pseudomonadati; Pseudomonadota; Gammaproteobacteria; Orbales; Orbaceae.